Molecule: ribosomal RNA, 160 nt
Filed under: Tulasnella sp. 252
Lineage: Eukaryota; Fungi; Basidiomycota; Agaricomycetes; Cantharellales; Tulasnellaceae
Description: 5.8S ribosomal RNA
Rfam family: 5.8S ribosomal RNA
About the family: 5.8S ribosomal RNA (5.8S rRNA) is a component of the large subunit of the eukaryotic ribosome.
Source: RNAcentral
AAAUACAACCAGUAGCACUGGAUCCCUCGGCAUGCCAUUCGAUGAAGACCGUAGCGAGUUGCGAUAAGCGAUGUGAUAUGCGAGUCCCAAACUGAUACGUGAACCAUCGGAUCGUCGAACGCACUGCACCGAGGAUUGCCCAUCCACGGUAUACCACAUU